RNAcentral lists this ribosomal RNA (496 nucleotides) under uncultured bacterium. Its description in RNAcentral is "partial 16S ribosomal RNA". It matches the Rfam family "Bacterial small subunit ribosomal RNA", at positions 29 to 507 of the family's 1533-position model. The record is from RNAcentral.
AUGAACGCUGGCGGCGUGCCUAAUACAUGCAAGUCGGGCGAACGGACGAGAAGCUUGCUUCUCUGAUGUUAGCGGCGGACGGGUGAGUAACACGUGGAUAACCUACCUAUAAGACUGGGAUAACUUCGGGAAACCGGAGCUAAUACCGGAUAAUAUUUUGAACCGCAUGGUUCAAAAGUGAAAGACGGUCUUGCUGUCACUUAUAGAUGGAUCCGCGCUGCAUUAGCUAGUUGGUAAGGUAACGGCUUACCAAGGCAACGAUGCAUAGCCGACCUGAGAGGGUGAUCGGCCACACUGGAACUGAGACACGGUCCAGACUCCUACGGGAGGCAGCAGUAGGGAAUCUUCCGCAAUGGGCGAAAGCCUGACGGAGCAACGCCGCGUGAGUGAUGAAGGUCUUCGGAUCGUAAAACUCUGUUAUUGGGGAAGAACAUAUGUGUAAGUAACUGUGCACAUCUUGACGGUACCUAAUCAGAAAGCCACGGCUAACUACGUG